Molecule: ribosomal RNA, 120 nt
Filed under: Pteropus alecto (black flying fox)
Lineage: Eukaryota; Metazoa; Chordata; Mammalia; Chiroptera; Pteropodidae
Source: RNAcentral
GUCUACUGCCGUGCCACCCUGAACAAGCCUGAUGCCAUCUGAUCUCGGAAGCUAAGCAGGGUCGGGCCUGGUUAGUACUUGGAUGGGAGACCACCUGGGGAAGACCAGGUGCUGUAGGCG